Molecule: non-coding RNA, 281 nt
Organism: Procambarus clarkii (red swamp crayfish)
Lineage: Eukaryota; Metazoa; Arthropoda; Malacostraca; Decapoda; Cambaridae
Source: RefSeq, a predicted model, not a curated record
GGUGAAUGUCAACCAAUCAGGUCCGGCGGGGUUUGGUUGGCUGCUGAUUAUAAAAGGGAGGAUGAGACUAAAAGCACUCCAGUGUGUUUUUACCUUACUUUUGGUAUACAAUGGGAGGUUCGUCUGUUGAAGAUCCUGGGCCAGCCACAAGAAGGCAACGUGGACAAUGUGUAAUGAAGAUGGUGUUGACGUCCAGUGCAUAACCUGCAUUAUUUUCAGAUAUAAGAGCUGGCGGGGAUUUUUGACUGGAAAUAGUAUUGACAAUAAAGUUGACUACACCA